UACGGAGGGUGCAAGCGUUAUCCGGAAUCACUGGGUUUAAAGGGUGCGUAGGCGGUCAGAUAAGUCAGUCGUGAAAUUCCUCGGCUUAACCGGGUGGACUGCGAUUGAUACUGUUUGACUUGAAUGAGGUUGAGGUAGGCGGAAUGUGGCAUGUAGCGGUGAAAUGCUUAGAUAUGCCAUAGAACACCGAUUGCGAAGGCAGCUUGCUGGGCCUUCAUUGACGCUGAGGCACGAAAGCGUGGGGAGCAAACAGG
RNAcentral lists this ribosomal RNA (254 nucleotides) under uncultured bacterium. Its description in RNAcentral is "partial 16S ribosomal RNA". It matches the Rfam family "Bacterial small subunit ribosomal RNA", at positions 524 to 776 of the family's 1533-position model. The record is from RNAcentral.